UAGGGAAUCUUCCACAAUGGACGCAAGUCUGAUGGAGCAACGCCGCGUGAGUGAAGAAGGUUUUCGGAUCGUAAAGCUCUGUUGUUGGUGAAGAAGGAUAGAGGUAGUAACUGGCCUUUAUUUGACGGUAAUCAACCAGAAAGUCACGGCUAACUACGUGCCAGCAGCCGCGGUAAUACGUAGGUGGCAAGCGUUGUCCGGAUUUAUUGGGCGUAAAGCGAGCGCAGGCGGAAGAAUAAGUCUGAUGUGAAAGCCCUCGGCUUAACCGAGGAAUUGCAUCGGAAACUGUUUUCUUGAGUGCAGAAGAGGAGAGUGGAACUCCAUGUGUAGCGGUGGAAUGCGUAGAUAUAUGGAAGAAUACCAGUGGCGAAGGCGGCUCUCUGGUCUGCAACUGACGCUGAGGCUCGAAAGCAUGGGUAGCGAACAGGAUUAGAUACCCUGGUAGUCCAUGCCGUAAACGAUGAGUGCUAAGUGUUGGGGAGGCUUCCGCCUCUCAGUGCUGCAGCUAACGCAUUAAGCACUCCGCCUGGGGGAGUACGACCGCAAGGUUGAAAC
RNAcentral lists this ribosomal RNA (555 nucleotides) under uncultured bacterium. Its description in RNAcentral is "partial 16S ribosomal RNA". It matches the Rfam family "Bacterial small subunit ribosomal RNA", at positions 355 to 900 of the family's 1533-position model. The record is from RNAcentral.